GAGGAAAGCGGCGGCGGUGGCGGCUUCAACAGCAGCUCUUGCCCUUAAGGAACAAUGAAACACAAAGAUGGUGCAGACCCAGGCCCUGCUUUGACUGGGAGAAAGAUGCAUUCAGUUGACUAAAACUUGAACAGGGCAGUUUACUUCUAUAGAAGGGUGCACCCUCACAGAUGGACCAAUGUGUCAGGAGAAUUCAGUCACACCCAAAGCAGGAGAUGCGGGAGGCCAGAUGCGCAAGAUGGACACUCGGCUCCUCCUUCGUCCCCGCCUCUCCUCGCUUCCAGGGUAGCAGCCUCAACAAGGGAAACUAUUGUUCCAGUGGAGGCUGCGAGGAUGUCGGUGAUUUACGCGCCGAGCUGUAGCUGCAAAAGGACAAGGGCAAGUGCCGGCCCGACCUAGGGCCCACCGGUCUCUGGCUUGCUCUUGUGAGUAGGUGCACCCUGCCCGCUUGUGGUGGCCUCAGGGGUAAGAAAUCAGGACCCACCCAG
RNAcentral lists this long non-coding RNA (488 nucleotides) under Homo sapiens (human). RNAcentral's name for it is "PREDICTED lncRNA (TCONS_00278242)". Lineage: Eukaryota; Metazoa; Chordata; Mammalia; Primates; Hominidae. The record is from RNAcentral.